UACGAAGGGGGCUAGCGUUGCCCGGAAUCACUGGGCGUAAAGGGUGCGUAGGCCGCACGGUAAGUCAGAGGUGAAAUCCCGGAGCUCAACUUCGGAAUUGCCUCCGAUACUGCCGUGCUUGAGGACUGGAGAGGAGUCUGGAAUUCACAGUGGAGCAGUGAAAUGCGUAGAUAUUGUGAGGAACACUAGUGGCGAAGGCGAGACUCUGGACAGUUCCUGACGCUGAGGCACGAAGGCCAGGGGAGCAAACGGG
This 253-nucleotide ribosomal RNA is filed under the name uncultured bacterium. RNAcentral's name for it is "partial 16S ribosomal RNA". It matches the Rfam family "Bacterial small subunit ribosomal RNA", at positions 524 to 776 of the family's 1533-position model. The record is from RNAcentral.